GACAGAGGGUGCAAACGUUUGUUCGGAAUUACUGGGCGUAAAGCGCGUGUAGGCGGCCCUGUAAGUCGGGUGUGAAAUCCCACGGCUCAACCGUGGAAGUGCAUUCGAAACUACAGGGCUAGAGUUCUGGAGAGGAAGGUGGAAUGCUUGGUGUAGAGGUGAAAUUCGUAGAUAUCAAGCGGAACACCGGUGGCGAAGGCGGCCUUCUGGACAGUAACUGACGCUGAGACGCGAAAGCGUGGGGAGCAAACAGG
Molecule: ribosomal RNA, 254 nt
Filed under: uncultured bacterium
Lineage: Bacteria
Description: partial 16S ribosomal RNA
Rfam family: Bacterial small subunit ribosomal RNA
Source: RNAcentral